AGCACGAGACUGGCAACUUACUUACCUUGCUCUGCAAAACAAGAAUCUGUUGAGCCCGACCCCUCCAGGUCCCUGGCGAGGAUAAGAGCUGCUGUAUGUUCACAUCUUCCCCCACCUCACUGACCAAAACCUGCAAGAGUUACUUCUGAGACUCACAGAAGAUUGGCAUUGAAGGGAUUCAUGGAUGGCCCAUUCGGAACCUUCCAUCAGUAAUGAAAAGAAGGUGCAGAGAAGGUGAAGUAGCUUGUCUUAAGGUACAGAGCUGGUUGAAGGUUCUAUCCAUCGAAGGAUCAGAACCCUGGUGCUGCUGCUGCCCUGGCUGGUUCCCCUGGCAGAAGCAGUUGCUCAUGUUCAGCAUCAUGGCAACAGGAACAUCCCAUCAGGCAAUGAUGCUGCCACUGUCUGCUCUGACCCCUUGUGCACAAACCAGGAGGGCUGGGCUUCUGGCAAGAGACAGGUCCUGAGUAGUUUUCUGAUCUUUCCUUUGCCAGCACACACAAAAUCUGUAACUGCCAGUGUGAAGGUCAGAUCCCAAUGGACGGGGCCUGAGAAGUUGCAUGGACCUCAGAGGCCCUGGCCAGCCUAGCUGAAAACCACUGGUCUAAGAGACCAGAGCCAGAAAACUGUCCAAAAUCAGCAGCCUGUCUGCAAAAAAGGGGAAGCUUCCUCACAGCACCACCAUGAGGAAAAACAGAAAAACUAAAGUGAACAGAAUCUGCAAACUGGGAACUGAUGAGAGACACAAGUGUACCAUUCACACACACACACACACACACACACACACACACACACACACACACACACACACACUUUAGGUGGCAGUCUUCCUGUCUUGCUGCUUCCCAUUUCUUCUAUCAUAAAUGUGGGGCUUUGGACCUGCCUAGGUUGGGUAACCACUCUGUCCAUCAUAUCUUGGUCCCGUGAGCCCCUCCAAUCGAGAGGGGCUGGUAUGGCAGUGGUGGGAGUGUCUGAGUGUACCUCACAACUGUCAUAACCUGCUCAAAGCCUGAAGAGAGCACAUAUAUUGGGCCUGUGUCUAGAGCCUAGACAACGGCCCCUAUCUCUGAGCCAACUCCAGGAGACCAGUGAGUGUUGACAGAACAAGGCAUGGGGGUCCUGGGGCAGAUUCCAACAGAGGUCAUGCUGGCAGACGGGAAGCUAAUGGAGGUUUCUGAGUGCCAAAUGGUUUUCGGGUGAGGGCAGGGCCCAGGUGCAUGAGGGGCUGUCACUCCUCCUGCCCUGCCAUGCCCCAGAACCCCUUCCUGGAUAGCUCACCAGAGGGAAAUUCCACAGGCUUUGUGGGGGACUGAGUUUGGUCUGCCUUCUUUGAGGGAAUAACUGAAAGGCAACCCGUGGGGCACAGACAUGCCAGUGCGCAUGCCAGGGCCCAGAGCUGCACAGGAGGGAGGCUCUCAGCUCUGCUCUGGAAUGUGCUUUGGCCUCUGCAGUGCAGCUGGUUUCUGGCCACCCCAUUCCCAGGAGGGGGUGUGGCUUUUGUCCUCUCUCUUCAGAAGGUGUCCAGGAGAACACAGUGUGCUGCUCAUGAACUGAGAUUUGCAGCCCAUAACUAUCAUCCACGCUUUGACCAGACACCUGCGACUCCUGGUGGUCACAGAAUAAAGCUGAAAUUCCUGCUCCAGCAGCCAUUCAAGGAUCCCCCUGUUGGUGAGCCCAUCCCAGCUCUGUUUUGGCUUACACCCCCUUUCUCCCUUGUGGGCUGCAGGCAAAUGCUACCCAAUGGAUACCCAGCAAGCAGACAGAACAGGAACAGUGAGGGCAUUCCCCCCUUCCUCCUCCAGUGAGGUUCACUGCAAGAGCACCCCCUCCACGCCCACUGUCCAGCUGCCUGGGGUUAGGGGAGCAUCUGCCUGUUGUACUCAGAGCCUAGGGCUCCCUCAAAAGGCCCUGCCCCAACUUCCUUAAACAUGGCUAAGCCUUCCUUAAAAAUGGUGGACGGGGUACAGGUGGUAGUGCAGCAGGUUAAGUGCACAUGACACAAAGAGCAAGGAUGGGCUUAAGAAUCCUGGUUUGAGCCCCGGCUCUCCACCUGCAGGGGAGUCACUUCACAAGUGGUGAGGCAGGUCUGCAGGUGUCUAUCUUUCUCUCCCCCUCUCUGUCUCCCUCUCCUCUCUCCAUUUUUCUCUGUCCUAUCCAACAACGAUGACAACAAUAACAACAACAUGUUAGGUGGAAAACUAAGAAAUGUUAUGCAUGUACAAACUAUUGUAUUUACUGUCUAAUGUAAAACAUUAAUUCAAUAAAGAAAUAAAAAAAACAA
Long non-coding RNA from Erinaceus europaeus (western European hedgehog), 2278 nucleotides. RefSeq lists it as uncharacterized. The transcript has 2 exons. Lineage: Eukaryota; Metazoa; Chordata; Mammalia; Eulipotyphla; Erinaceidae. The record is from RefSeq and is a predicted model, not a curated record.